Molecule: ribosomal RNA, 254 nt
Filed under: uncultured bacterium
Lineage: Bacteria
Description: partial 16S ribosomal RNA
Rfam family: Bacterial small subunit ribosomal RNA
Source: RNAcentral
UACGUAGGGCGCAAGCGUUGUCCGGAAUUAUUGGGCGUAAAGAGCUCGUAGGCGGCUUGUCACGUCGGGUGUGAAAACCCGAGGCUCAACCUCGGGCCUGCAGUUGGGUACGGGCAGACUAGAGUCCGGAAGAGGAGAGUGGAAUUCCUGGUGUAGCGGUGAAAUGCGCAGAUAUCAGGAAGAACACCCGUGGCUAAGGCGGCUCUCUAGUACGGUACUGACGCUGAGACGCGAAAGCGUGGGGAGCGAACAGG